This 379-nucleotide ribosomal RNA is filed under the name uncultured cyanobacterium. RNAcentral describes it as "SSU rRNA". It matches the Rfam family "Bacterial small subunit ribosomal RNA", at positions 376 to 770 of the family's 1533-position model. The record is from RNAcentral. Lineage: Bacteria; Bacillati; Cyanobacteriota.
CGAAAGCCUGACGGAGCAACGCCGCGUGAGGGAUGAAGGCCUCUGGGCUGUAAACUUCUUUUCUCAAGGAAGAAGAUCUGACGGUACUUGAGGAAUAAGCCACGGCUAAUUCCGUGCCAGCAGCCGCGGUAAUACGGGAGUGGCAAGCGUUAUCCGGAAUUAUUGGGCGUAAAGCGUCCGCAGGCGGCCCUUCAAGUCUGCUGUUAAAACGUGGAGCUCAACUCCAUCAUGGCAGUGGAAACUGUUGGGCUUGAGUGUGGUAGGGGCAGAGGGAAUUCCCGGUGUAGCGGUGAAAUGCGUAGAUAUCGGGAAGAACACCAGUGGCGAAGGCGCUCUGCUGGGCCAUAACUGACGCUCAUGGACGAAAGCCAGGGGAGCG